Molecule: ribosomal RNA, 749 nt
Filed under: uncultured Actinomyces sp.
Lineage: Bacteria; Bacillati; Actinomycetota; Actinomycetes; Actinomycetales; Actinomycetaceae
Description: bacterial SSU rRNA
Rfam family: Bacterial small subunit ribosomal RNA
Source: RNAcentral
GACGAACGCUGGCGGCGUGCUUAACACAUGCAAGUCGAACGCUGAAGGCCCAGCUUGCUGGGUUGGAUGAGUGGCGAACGGGUGAGUAACACGUGAGUAACCUGCCCCCUUCUUUGGGAUAACGGUCGGAAACGGCUGCUAAUACCGGGUAUUCACUGUCCUUCGCAUGGGGGGUGGUGGAAAGGUUUUUUCUGGUGGGGGAUGGGCUCGCGGCCUAUCAGCUUGUUGGUGGGGUGAUGGCUUACCAAGGCUUUGACGGGUAACCGGCCUGAGAGGGUGACCGGUCACAUUGGGACUGAGAUACGGCCCAGACUCCUACGGGAGGCAGCAGUGGGGAAUAUUGCACAAUGGGCGAAAGCCUGAUGCAGCGACGCCGCGUGAGGGAUGGAGGCCUUCGGGUUGUAAACCUCUUUCGCUCAUGGUCAAGCCGCAACAGUGGUUGUGGUGAGGGUAGUGGGUAAAGAAGCACCGGCUAACUACGUGCCAGCAGCCGCGGUAAUACGUAGGGUGCGAGCGUUGUCCGGAAUUAUUGGGCGUAAAGGGCUUGUAGGCGGUUUGUCGCGUCUGCCGUGAAAUCCUCUGGCUUAACUGGGGGCGUGCGGUGGGUACGGGCAGGCUUGAGUGCGGUAGGGGAGACUGGAACUCCUGGUGUAGCGGUGGAAUGCUCACAUAUCAGGAAGAACACCGGUGGCGAAGGCGGGUCUCUGGGCCGUUUCUGAGCUGAGGAGCGGAACCUGCGGAACGAACAG